GCGACCCCAGGUCAGGCGGGACUACCCGCUGAGUUUAAGCAUAUAAUAA
This 49-nucleotide ribosomal RNA is filed under the name Dupontia fisheri. RNAcentral's name for it is "partial 26S ribosomal RNA". The record is from RNAcentral. Lineage: Eukaryota; Viridiplantae; Streptophyta; Magnoliopsida; Poales; Poaceae.